AACGAACGCUGGCGGCAUGCCUAACACAUGCAAGUCGAACGAGACCUUCGGGGCUAGUGGCGCACGGGUGCGUAACGCGUGGGAAUCUACCCUCAGGUUCGGAAUAACUCAGAGAAAUUUGAGCUAAUACCGGAUGAUGACGUAAGUCCAAAGAUUUAUCGCCUGAGGAUGAGCCCGCUUAGGAUUAGGUAGUUGGUGAGGUAAAGGCUCACCAAGCCGACGAUCCUUAGCUGGUCUGAGAGGAUGAUCAGCCACACUGGGACUGAGACACGGCCCAGACUCCUACGGGAGGCAGCAGUGGGGAAUAUUGGACAAUGGGCGAAAGCCUGAUCCAGCAAUGCCGCGUGAGGGAUGAAGGCCUUAGGGUUGUAAAGCUCUUUUACCCGGGAUGAUAAUGACAGUGCCGGGAGAAUAAGCUCCGGCUAACUCCGUGC
This 434-nucleotide ribosomal RNA is filed under the name uncultured bacterium. Its description in RNAcentral is "partial 16S ribosomal RNA". It matches the Rfam family "Bacterial small subunit ribosomal RNA", at positions 29 to 508 of the family's 1533-position model. The record is from RNAcentral.